RNAcentral lists this transfer RNA (119 nucleotides) under Symploca sp. SIO2G7. Its description in RNAcentral is "tRNA-Gly". It matches the Rfam family "tRNA". Rfam says of the family: Transfer RNA (tRNA) molecules are approximately 80 nucleotides in length. Their secondary structure includes four short double-helical elements and three loops (D, anti-codon, and T loops). The record is from RNAcentral. Lineage: Bacteria; Bacillati; Cyanobacteriota; Cyanophyceae; Coleofasciculales; Coleofasciculaceae.
GCGGAUAUGGUGCAAUGGCUAGCAUGUGAGGCUUCCAACCUCUUGAUACGGGUACUCCUUCUCCUUCGGAGACGCUUCGCGAACGGAGAACGCUUCGCGAACAAAUCCCGUUAUUCGCU